UGGGUUCAACGAUGGAUUGACUGUUUAGGGAUGGGGGCUCACCCGGGAUGCAAGCUUGUGAACUGAUUGAGGAACUGAGACUGAAAUCCAAAACGAGGUGUCUCCACAGGUGAACAAGAGGAAGUGGAAGAGGAAGGACUAAAGGGUGACCAGGGCAACCAGAGUGACCAUGGGGAGGCUCCUGCUGUGGCUCCUGCUGUCCCUGUGGUGCAUGAGGAAGGACGCAAAUAGUGUGCCAUGUGGAAAGGAGGACUGGGAGUGGGUGACUAGCCCCAGUCCUCCGAGUUUGCUUCGCUUCAACUGCCACACUAAGGAAACACUUAGCUUUUGCAAAACACGUGCAGUGGUCAAUAAACAGCUCUGGCCAAAGGUAAAGGUGGCACUAUGGUUAGGACAUGAGCACACAGUGGAACGUAAAAAGGUCCAAAUAAAAUCAUACACUGAUGCUCAUAACAAUAGGAAGACUAGUAACAUCACAAUUUUAAUAACAGCUGACUGCCCAGUUAUUCGCUGGUGUCAGGUGCCAGAGAUUAUGGAGUUUUAUGGAGGCAUUUGGAAGGAAUCAUGGAAGUGCAUGAGCUACCCCUUUGAGCAGGGUGACAGCCUUAGAUGAUGCUGUGGCCCUCUUAGAGGGACAGUGUCUAUACUUAAUGCAACCAGUGUCCGGAUUACCUUUAAAGGGGGACAGCUGCAUACUACUAGUGAAGGGGACUACAAAGUCCUGGGCUACCCCUCAUUUGAACACAAUUACAUGGCUUGGGAGGAAACACAUAGACCUCGGUACUGGAAUUUGUGUGGGAUUUUGUGCGAAAGAAACCAAACACUCAUGAAAGAUCAUGUGCCAAUUAUACUGACAUGGUACCUGUGGAGGUUGGGCCUGCUGAUUCAGGAUAGGGCUUACCACUUAAAGCAUGGACCGAGGUAACCCCAAAGGCAUGGCGAACGUCGUUAAAUGAUGGCCCAAAUUAGAAUGUCCACGACUGGUAACAACCAAGUUAUCAGAGACAGAGUGGAACCACCUGACUGUGUGUCAUGCCCUGAACAAAUCCCUGUUCCAGAACCAGGAUUGGUAAUGAUAGGACCAGCACUACUGGUCCUCACCUCGGUAGUAUUCCACACCUACAGAGUCGAGGGGCAUAUUCCAUUAGAGGAAGCGAACAGACAGUGUGCAAAGGUCAGGCCUCGAAUGAGUAGAAAUAUUACUAGCCUAACAAAUCAAAUUGGUGAGCGCUUAACUAGACAGAAAAGGGGUUACUAGAUACCAUUGCAGGAUGCAUUGGUGCAGGUAAUUCUGUUGGCAACACCUAUAACAUAGCACGCCAAGCUGAGAAGAGGGAUCAACUUGAGUCAAGGCUGGCAGACGCUGUAAUCUCUAAUGCCUGGGGAGGACUGGAUACUAAUAAGGCCAGUCGAUUGAUCCUAGACAGUUUAAAGGAUCUGUCAACCUCUGUAUCCACCUUAUUAGAUAUAACAAAAUACCUGGGUAAAGAAGUCACCACCCUGCUGAUAAAUGAUACCAAAAUAAAGGCAUUGGAAGAGAGUUGUUGGAGAGCAGGACAAACUUUGGCCAUCACCACAUGAUCUCCUUGAUGGCUGGAUCCACCCAGCCCUUAUGGAAGUGGUGGGACCCUAUCUCCCCAGUACCCCUCCGUGGGCAUGGGGAAACAGAGAAUCAAUGAGAGUCCAAAGACCAGUUUGGACAGGUCACAGUAUACUCUUUAACCUUCUGGUACCUCUGGGCAUCCCUCAUUUACAGCGAGCCAGGAUGGUGACCUCCUUGCCAGUAUGAAGGAGGGGUCAUGUUAUUAAGAUAGAAGGCGUUGCAUACUCUGAGGUCGCUGGGAGAGCACUGUAUCCUAGUGAAUGUUGCACCCACUCUGAUAAGGAAAUUCUGUGUACAAGCCCAUAUAAUAUUCUAACGAAUUUGUCUAGGUUCGAAGUGGCCAUCAUUGAGAAACUGGCACACACGGAGCUGGUCCAAAUGAACAGUACCUAUUGGUGUGUGACUGCCCAGAACCACUCCAUCGAGCUAAAUGGAAAGCCCUGCCCCUCGAGACAUCCAUCCGUGUGCAUGACAGUACCCCGAAGGGCGACCCUGACCGUUGAUGGGAUGCAGCUCCACAGAUUAUGGUCAGUGCCAUCUCAGGUGAUGGCCCAUACAGGCCCAAAAUCCAGAGUUUGCUCAAGAAGACAGAGGUCUAGCAAAUAGUGAACAAUAUUAGCUAAGAAGCAGAACAAACAAAGGACAACCUUGCUUUUUGCUAAGAUAAGCUUGGUCAGCAAGAAGCCAGGUGGAAAUUAUAAUU
Molecule: long non-coding RNA, 2306 nt
Organism: Chelonia mydas (Green sea turtle)
Lineage: Eukaryota; Metazoa; Chordata; Testudines; Cheloniidae
Exons: 3
Source: RefSeq, a predicted model, not a curated record